Molecule: ribosomal RNA, 586 nt
Filed under: uncultured bacterium
Lineage: Bacteria
Description: partial 16S ribosomal RNA
Rfam family: Bacterial small subunit ribosomal RNA
Source: RNAcentral
UGGGGAAUUUUGGACAAUGGGCGAAAGCCUGAUCCAGCAAUGCCGCGUGUGUGAAGAAGGCCUUCGGGUUGUAAAGCACUUUUGUCCGGAAAGAAAUCCUUGGCUCUAAUACAGUCGGGGGAUGACGGUACCGGAAGAAUAAGCACCGGCUAACUACGUGCCAGCAGCCGCGGUAAUACGUAGGGUGCAAGCGUUAAUCGGAAUUACUGGGCGUAAAGCGUGCGCAGGCGGUUUGCUAAGACCGAUGUGAAAUCCCCGGGCUCAACCUGGGAACUGCAUUGGUGACUGGCAGGCUAGAGUAUGGCAGAGAGGGGUAGAAUUCCACGUGUAGCAGUGAAAUGCGUAGAGAUGUGGAGGAAUACCGAUGGCGAAGGCAGCCCCCUGGGCCAAUACUGACGCUCAUGCACGAAAGCGUGGGGAGCAAACAGGAUUAGAUACCCUGGUAGUCCACGCCCUAAACGAUGUCAACUAGUUGUUGGGGAUUCAUUUUCCUUAGUAACGUAGCUAACGCGUGAAGUUGACCGCCUGGGGAGUACGGUCGCAAGAUUAAAACUCAAAUGAAUUGACGGGGUCAUAGCUGUUUCCU